Molecule: ribosomal RNA, 1444 nt
Filed under: Enterococcus mundtii
Lineage: Bacteria; Bacillati; Bacillota; Bacilli; Lactobacillales; Enterococcaceae
Description: bacterial SSU rRNA
Rfam family: Bacterial small subunit ribosomal RNA
Source: RNAcentral
GACGAACGCUGGCGGCGUGCCUAAUACAUGCAAGUCGAACGCUUCUUUUCCCACCGGAGCUUGCUCCACCGGGAAAAGAGGAGUGGCGAACGGGUGAGUAACACGUGGGUAACCUGCCCAUCAGAAGGGGAUAACACUUGGAAACAGGUGCUAAUACCGUAUAACAAUCGAAACCGCAUGGUUUCGUUUUGAAAGGCGCUUUACGGUGCCGCUGAUGGAUGGACCCGCGGUGCAUUAGCUAGUUGGUGAGGUAACGGCUCACCAAGGCCACGAUGCAUAGCCGACCUGAGAGGGUGAUCGGCCACAUUGGGACUGAGACACGGCCCAAACUCCUACGGGAGGCAGCAGUAGGGAAUCUUCGGCAAUGGACGAAAGUCUGACCGAGCAACGCCGCGUGAGUGAAGAAGGUUUUCGGAUCGUAAAACUCUGUUGUUAGAGAAGAACAAGGGUGAGAGUAACUGUUCACCCCUUGACGGUAUCUAACCAGAAAGCCACGGCUAACUACGUGCCAGCAGCCGCGGUAAUACGUAGGUGGCAAGCGUUGUCCGGAUUUAUUGGGCGUAAAGCGAGCGCAGGCGGUUUCUUAAGUCUGAUGUGAAAGCCCCCGGCUCAACCGGGGAGGGUCAUUGGAAACUGGGAGACUUGAGUGCAGAAGAGGAGAGUGGAAUUCCAUGUGUAGCGGUGAAAUGCGUAGAUAUAUGGAGGAACACCAGUGGCGAAGGCGGCUCUCUGGUCUGUAACUGACGCUGAGGCUCGAAAGCGUGGGGAGCAAACAGGAUUAGAUACCCUGGUAGUCCACGCCGUAAACGAUGAGUGCUAAGUGUUGGAGGGUUUCCGCCCUUCAGUGCUGCAGCUAACGCAUUAAGCACUCCGCCUGGGGAGUACGACCGCAAGGUUGAAACUCAAAGGAAUUGACGGGGGCCCGCACAAGCGGUGGAGCAUGUGGUUUAAUUCGAAGCAACGCGAAGAACCUUACCAGGUCUUGACAUCCUUUGACCACUCUAGAGAUAGAGCUUCCCCUUCGGGGGCAAAGUGACAGGUGGUGCAUGGUUGUCGUCAGCUCGUGUCGUGAGAUGUUGGGUUAAGUCCCGCAACGAGCGCAACCCUUAUUGUUAGUUGCCAUCAUUUAGUUGGGCACUCUAGCAAGACUGCCGGUGACAAACCGGAGGAAGGUGGGGAUGACGUCAAAUCAUCAUGCCCCUUAUGACCUGGGCUACACACGUGCUACAAUGGGAAGUACAACGAGUCGCGAAGUCGCGAGGCUAAGCUAAUCUCUUAAAGCUUCUCUCAGUUCGGAUUGUAGGCUGCAACUCGCCUACAUGAAGCCGGAAUCGCUAGUAAUCGCGGAUCAGCACGCCGCGGUGAAUACGUUCCCGGGCCUUGUACACACCGCCCGUCACACCACGAGAGUUUGUAACACCCGAAGUCGGUGAGGUAACCUUUU